This is a long non-coding RNA of Oncorhynchus tshawytscha (Chinook salmon), 445 nucleotides long. The record is from Ensembl. Lineage: Eukaryota; Metazoa; Chordata; Actinopteri; Salmoniformes; Salmonidae.
GAGGGAGGUUGGAGGGAAGGAGAGAGAGAGGGAGAAGGUUGGAGGGAGGGAGAGAGAAAGGGAGAAGGUUGGAGGGAGGGAGGUUGGAGGGAAGGAGAGAGAGAGGGAGGAGGUUGGAGGGAGGGAGAGAGAAAGAAAGGGAGAAGGUUGGAGGGAGGGAGAGAGGAAAGGAGAGAGAGAGGGAGAAGGUUGGAGGGAGGGAGAGAGAAAGGAAGAAGGUUGGAGGGAGGGAGAGAGGGAGGUUGGAGGGAAGGAGAGAGAGAGGGAGAAGGUUGGAGGGAGGGAGAGAGAAAGGGAGAAGGUUGGAGGGAGGGAGGUUGGAGGGAAGGAGAGAGAGAGGGAGAAGGUUGGAGGGAGGGAGAGAGAAAGAAAGGGAGAAGGUUGGAGGGAGGGAGAGAGGAAAGGAGAGAGAGAGGGAGAAGGUUGGAGGGAGGGAGAGAGAAAG